ACCCUUUAGACAAAAAAAAAAAAAAAAAAAAAUUCUUCUCCAACCUCAUUAUCUUAUCUCUGCAAAGUUCAAGCAAAGAGAGAAGAGAACGCCAUUGCAAUAGCUUAGUACGACUAGCUAGGAGCAUCAACUUCUGAAGAUGAAGGACUUAAUUCAGCUGCCUUACGAUGCUUCUGUGCGGGUUAUUUUAGCUUCACUGGAACGAAAUUUGUUGCCAGACGCUGUCGUUAGGAGAUUCACUCGAUUGCUGUUGGCCUCUCGUCUCCGUUCUGGCUACAAGCCUUCUUCUGAACUCCAGCUCGCCGACCUCCUUCAUUUCGUGCAUUCUCUCAAACAGAUGCCUAUUGCUAUCAUGACUGAGAAGCCCAAAGCGCAACAUUAUGAACUUCCUACUUCUUUCUUCAAGUUGGUUCUGGGCAAAAAUUUCAAGUACAGUUGUUGUUAUUUUUCUGACAAAUCAAACACCUUAGAGGAUGCUGAGGAAGCAAUGUUGGAGCUCUACUGUGAGAGGUCACAGCUAAAAGAUGGCCACACUGUCCUUGACAUUGGAUGUGGCUGGGGAUCACUCUCCAUAUACAUUGCUCGAAAGUACAGAAAUUGCAGGAUUACUGGGAUUUGCAACUCAACAACCCAGAAAGCAUUCAUCGAGGAGCAGUGUCGGGAAAAUCAGCUGCAGAAUGUAGAAAUUAUUGUUGCAGAUAUUAGCACAUUAGAAAUGGAGGCAUCCUAUGAUCGCAUAUUCUCCAUUGAAAUGUUUGAGCAUAUGAAAAACUACAAAGAUCUUCUUCACAAGAUAUCCAAGUGGAUGAAAGAGGACAGUCUUCUUUUUGUGCAUUAUUUCUGCCACAAGACAUUUGCUUACCACUUUGAGGAUAUAAAUGAAGAUGACUGGAUUACUAGGUAUUUCUUCAGUGGAGGAACAAUGCCUGCUGCAAAUCUGCUGCUUUAUUUCCAGGAUGAUGUUUCUGUUGUCAACCAUUGGCUUGUGAAUGGGAAACAUUAUGCACAGACAAGUGAGGAGUGGCUCAAAAGAAUGGACAAGAACUUGGGUUUGAUUAAGCCAAUAAUGGAAUCAACUUAUGGCAAAGAACAAUCUCUCAAGUGGACUGUCUACUGGAGAACAUUCUUCAUUGCAGUUGCAGAACUUUUUGGAUACAACAAUGGAGAAGAAUGGAUGGUUGCACUUUUCCUAUUUAAGAAAAAAUGAAGCAUGAAAAAAACACCCUCCUCUCAGUUGAAGAUGACAUGGGAGCCAUGGCUGAGGCGGAGAAUCCCGGUGAUAGAGCAAAGAUCUGGUUGGCAAAAUCGACGCCAACAGUAGGAGAGCUCCGAUCGUUGAAGAGCCAACAGGAUUGGCCCAAUGGGAGGCAAAUCUGGUUAUUGUGGAGACUUUUGUUGGGUGAGAAGAGACUGUCGGUUGAGAUGGAAAAAAAGCGGAGGGAAAGAAUCUAGGGACUUGAAUUUAUUUGAUAUUUUUCGAUGAAUUAGCGACGGGAUUAAUUUUGUCACUAAUAUUUUUUCUGUCGCUAAUCUGCCCUUUCGCGUCGUCAAAAUGUAAUAAGUUUUCCUAUCGCAAAUUUGUCGCAGAUUCUAUCGCUAAUUAUUGUUUUGCGACAGACAUAUGUUUCGGUGCAAAUUUCGACGCAAAAACCCCUAUUUACUUAUAGUGAAA
Molecule: RNA transcript, 1672 nt
Organism: Manihot esculenta (cassava)
Lineage: Eukaryota; Viridiplantae; Streptophyta; Magnoliopsida; Malpighiales; Euphorbiaceae
Gene name: (S)-coclaurine N-methyltransferase
Exons: 9
Source: RefSeq, a predicted model, not a curated record